Molecule: transfer RNA, 76 nt
Filed under: Gemmatimonadetes bacterium RIFCSPLOWO2_02_FULL_71_11
Lineage: Bacteria; Pseudomonadati; Gemmatimonadota
Description: tRNA-Thr
Rfam family: tRNA
About the family: Transfer RNA (tRNA) molecules are approximately 80 nucleotides in length. Their secondary structure includes four short double-helical elements and three loops (D, anti-codon, and T loops).
Source: RNAcentral
GCUGACGUAGCUCAACUGGUAGAGCAGCUGAUUUGUAAUCAGCAGGCUAAGGGUUCGAGUCCCUUCGUCAGCUCCA